UACGAAGGGGGCUAGCGUUGUUCGGAAUCACUGGGCGUAAAGAGCUCGUAGGCGGCUUGUCACGUCGAUUGUGAAAGCCCGAGGCUUAACCUCGGGUCUGCAGUCGAUACGGGCUAGCUAGAGUGUGGUAGGGGAGAUCGGAAUUCCUGGUGUAGCGGUGAAAUGCGCAGAUAUCAGGAGGAACACCGGUGGCGAAGGCGGAUCUCUGGGCCAUUACUGACGCUGAGGAGCGAAAGCGUGGGGAGCGAACAGG
RNAcentral lists this ribosomal RNA (253 nucleotides) under uncultured bacterium. RNAcentral's name for it is "partial 16S ribosomal RNA". It matches the Rfam family "Bacterial small subunit ribosomal RNA", at positions 524 to 776 of the family's 1533-position model. The record is from RNAcentral.